RNAcentral lists this long non-coding RNA (422 nucleotides) under Helianthus annuus (common sunflower). RNAcentral's name for it is "hypothetical non coding rna". The record is from RNAcentral. Lineage: Eukaryota; Viridiplantae; Streptophyta; Magnoliopsida; Asterales; Asteraceae.
ACGACGUUUUUAGAAUUUAAUAUACAAAAUUACAUUUAUAUACUUUGUGUAAUACACAUGCUUUUUAAAGGUAUAACUCUUUUUUAAAGAUAUAACUUUUAUUAUUUAAUAUAUAAAAUUACAUUUAUUCAACCCGUGUAAUACACAGGGUUCUAAUCUAGUUAUGGGAUAAAGAAAACGUGGCGCACUUCUAUCAUAUGGCCUUCACUUCUAUCCUCAAUUGUGGCGCAUAUACAGACGGGCUAAACUUCAAAUACAAUUCUACUCCAAUGCUAAUUUUUGUUUGUACAUGCCAUGUCACCCACCGCUAAGUUAUCGGUGCAAUGGGGGAAUGCCUCUGCAUUGCCAUGGGUAGUGAUGCGGCGGCAGAAACAAUGUGCAUCAAUCCUUUUAUGAUAUAUACGAAAAAAAAUCUCUUUUGU